CUACCCUGAGGAGUGAGUGACAAAUAUGAGAGCCUUUCAAGACCAGGUCUUAAAUACAACACAGAUAUUUCUCUCUUAUUGGUCAUAUAACUCAAGGACAGCAGUAUUGUAAUGAGAGCUACAUUAAAUUCUUAAAAUGGUGACUGCUAAACUAGACACUAAAUUUGACAAGAUAGUUAGACACAAAAACUUGAUACAAUAUCAAUCUAAGACAAUGUUGAUCCAUUUUUACUCCACCUCAGUGAGAAUGUUAACACCUGGAAUUAACCUGUUCUACAAGAUGCUGUGAAGAUUUAAAUGAAUCAGAGCGCUCCACCCAGAGAGAGAGAAGCUUAUGGAAUGACUAUUCCCUGAAGAGCCUUGUGGGUAAAACGUUUCAUAAGCCUUCAUUUUUCUCCUCAGUACCAAUUCCUAGAAGUGGCAAUGCUGGAUCAAAGAAUUUGUAGGGGAAGAACCUACUCCUUUCUCAUACCGAGUGUGGCACCCAAGGCAGGGACCAGCCAAAUUAGAAGAUGAGCCUGCUACUCCACAGCUACAGAAGAUAAGCUGAUUCCCAUUGGUUCUUUUCUCCUACCCACAUUUCUUCAAAUAGGCUGUCAUUGCACAUGUCCCUGCAGGGAAGAAAUCAAAGGAAGGGGGUAUAAAGGACUCCCACGUCUGUGUAGAUUAUCCCAAUUUUGAAGAGUGGUAAAAAGAAUGACAAAUGCCAGUGACUCAAAAAGUAGAAACCGAACAAAAAGUGAUGGUCCUAAGUUUUCUCUACUGCGUUUCAAAUCAACCGUGUCCCACUUUGAGAAAAGCAGAGAAUGUAGGUAACAGGGAGAGUAGG
Long non-coding RNA from Talpa occidentalis (Iberian mole), 829 nucleotides. RefSeq lists it as uncharacterized. The record is from RefSeq and is a predicted model, not a curated record. The transcript is spliced from 4 exons. Lineage: Eukaryota; Metazoa; Chordata; Mammalia; Eulipotyphla; Talpidae.